Molecule: ribosomal RNA, 441 nt
Filed under: uncultured bacterium
Lineage: Bacteria
Description: partial 16S ribosomal RNA
Rfam family: Bacterial small subunit ribosomal RNA
Source: RNAcentral
CCUACGGGUGGCUGCAGUGGGGAAUAUUGGGCAAUGGACGCAAGUCUGACCCAGCAACGCCGCGUGAAGGAAGAAGGCUUUCGGGUUGUAAACCUCUUUUAAGGGGGAAGAGCAGAAGACGGUAUGCCUUGAGUAAGCAUCGUCUAAUCCGGAGCAAGAUGCCGCGGUAACAGGGAGGAAGCGGGCGUUAUCCGGAUUGUUUGGGUUAAAGGGGUGCGUAGCCGGUUUUUUAAGUUAGUGGUAAAACGUCGGGGUUUACCCUUGAAUUGCCAUUGAUACUGUAAGACUCGAGUUCAGACGAGGUAGGCGGAAUAAAUUAAGUAGCGGUGAAAUGCUUAGAUAUAACGUAGAACUCCGAUAGCGAAGGCAGCUGACCAGACUGCAACUGACGCUGAGGCACGAAAGCGUGGGUAGCGAACAGGAUUAGAUACCCUAGUAGUC